RNAcentral lists this ribosomal RNA (502 nucleotides) under uncultured Glomeromycotina. RNAcentral describes it as "partial small subunit ribosomal RNA". It matches the Rfam family "Eukaryotic small subunit ribosomal RNA", at positions 591 to 1092 of the family's 1831-position model. The record is from RNAcentral. Lineage: Eukaryota; Fungi; Glomeromycota.
CCAAUAGCGUAUAUUAAAGUUGUUGCAGUUAAAAAGCUCGUAGUUGAAUUUCGGGGUCUGUCCGUCGGUCGGGCUUCACGGUCCGUACUGGUGUGAUGGGUUCCUACCUUCUGAAUAACCGGCAUGCCAUUCAGUUGGUGCGCCGGGGAAGCAGAGCUAUUACCUUGAAAAAAUUAGAGUGCUUAAAGCAGGCUAGUGCUUGAAUAGAUUAGCAUGGAAUAAUAAAAUAGGACGGCAUGGUUCUAUUUUGUUGGUUUCUAGGAUCACCGUAAUGAUUAAUAGGGAUAGUUGGGGGAAUUAGUAUUCAAUUGUCAGAGGUGAAAUUCUUGGAUUUAUUGAAGACUAACUUCUGCGAAAGCAUUUGCCAAGGAUGUUUUCAUUAAUCAAGAACGAAAGUUAGGGGAUCGAAGACGAUCAGAUACCGUCGUAGUCUUAACCAUAAACUAUGCCGACUAGGGAUCGGACGAUGUUAAUUUUUUAAUGACUCGUUCGGCGCCUUACG